Molecule: long non-coding RNA, 1178 nt
Organism: Cygnus olor (mute swan)
Lineage: Eukaryota; Metazoa; Chordata; Aves; Anseriformes; Anatidae
Exons: 4
Source: RefSeq, a predicted model, not a curated record
AAAAGGGUGUGUGUGUGUGUCUGAAGGACCUUGUAUCAGCUGCUCUGGUUCUGAUGGCAGAGGUAGUCUUAAGUGUUUAGGAUUAGCAGAAAGGGUCUCUGACCAUGCGGAAGCACUUGAGGUGAGUGGAGCUGCUGUUUCUGCUACUCAGAAGGUUUGAAACUGAGCUGACAAUAGGGACUAAGCUAAACUGUGCAUCUCACUAGGCUUCUCUUUUUACUAGGCAGUCUUAAGAAAAAAAUCUAGCACACUUUGUCCUCCCUCUCCAGCUCACUGCCCAAGCCUAUUUGUACCUGAAACUGCAGUAUUAACACCUACGAACAACACAGUUGUUCCUCAAAGGGCUGAAUUCCUCUCCUUGGAUAUGUUAGCGUGUAAUAACCUGAGAUAAUUUUAUUUAGAACCAGCUGUAAUGUCUUCCCUGUCAGUUUCAUAAACUUUUUCACGCUUAGUGUGAAAAGACUAAGGCAGAGCCUAGAUCAAUUCCUUGUUUGUUCAUCGGUCAUUGGCCAUCAUGCUUAUGCAGUUAUUGUUUGUUUCUCUCGUGGUAACAGAGUAAUGACACUUUCUGUCCUUUUGUAGGUCUUCUGAGAUCUGCAGACACAGGAUUAUGUAAAAACAAAGACUAACAUAGCAUGAGAGAGCAUGAGCUGUCCCCAGACAGGUAGAAGUCAUCUGAAAUCAUCAGUAAAAGUGGUAUAUUUCCUGGAGAAUUGCCAUUGCUUUGUGUGGCGUUUACCCUUAGAAUUACUUCUGUCAGCCUCUGGAAGUUGGCUAGCAAACAUCCUUUGGUGUUUCAAGUUCCUGUGUGUUGCAAAAUCCUCAUACUUGAAGUUUCAUUGUCCUGUUAUUCUGAAAAUGAGAAGCUGCUGAAGUCAGUGUAAUGGAUGCAACAGCAUAGCCUGUAAGAGGCCACUAAGUAUUUAGUUUGAAUGGAUCAAAAGCCGUAUUUGUCCAGUGUGGAGGGACCCAGGCACCUUCCGAAGACUGGAACAACCUACAGGACUUCACAUAAGCCAAGGGACACAGAAGGAGUUUGCAUCCCUCAGAACCCUGUCGCCAUAACAGCAGAACUGUAACAGCAGAAGAUGUGCACGUGCAAACUGAGAUUGAGACACACUGCUCCGUUGAAGUCUUCAGCUCGCAAACACAAUACGUCUCUCAAACCACCAGAAUUG